UCCCGCCUUCAAGCAGUGCCUUUUAUGUAGUCCUGAGCUAUCCCCGGGGGGUCAGUCCACAGACAGGGAGAACAAAAUAGCAACUAAAUUAGAGAAGCCCGAAGAGGCUGCCUUCUUUCUCUAGGAAACAGCUCCUGACUGGCAAAGUUCACUAGGUCUCAAGAAGGGCAAUCCUCUCCCAAACCUCUUCUGUCCUCGACCACUUGGCAUGGGUGUGAGGGUAAGGGGGCUGAGAGCCCUGCUGAUCUGCUCCUACUGAGCUUCCCAUAAACAGUUCUGGGCUGCCUGCAGAUGUUGGGGACAAGAGAGGAUUCACGGGCGUGCUAGAACAAGUGACGGCGUGCGACUUGCUUUCUAUCGUGGUCAGCAAGGCUGAGACCAUGCGCUCCUGUCAUACAGCCUGCAGGAUGGCCCCUCGCUGCAUGGGAACAAGUUUCUCAUGCAUAAGGUAGCUCCACCCCUUCUUCACAGGCGGCUGUACUGGGAAGCAAAUGAUUUAGUGUUCCUGCCAGAGGAUCAUACAAAGGGAGAGCUCAUUAGAGGGGGCUCUGUCUGUCAGGUGCUGCUGCCUUAGACUCAGAGAGUCAUCAUCAAACGCCUUUCAGGCUGGUUCUUGGCUGACAAUUAACUGCAAGCCAUUGCCUGUGUGUCACGGGGAGGCAAGGGUGCUCAUUUACGCCGCAGUUUAAUUAGCCAGCCGCAAGCCUCGGCUCCUGUAUUUGUUUCUACUCAAGCCUGCUUCAUUUCUCCCCCAUAUUUCUGACAUUUGGAUUUUCCCCUACUAAUUGACAUGCCUGUCCCCUCCUUCUCCUGGUGUCCAUUUCUGGAACUGCUAUUUGUGUGUUGCAUGAUAUUUUAUCAGGGGAAAAAAAAAUAAAACUGAGAUCCAAUUUCAUGAAAAUGCUGUUGCCGUAUGCCCAGGAGGACAGGGGGAGGAGAGAGUCAAGUCUUCCUCCGUCUACCUCAUACGCAGCAGAAAGAAGAUUGUCAAAGUGGCAAACAGUGAAAGAUUCCUGAAGAGUGGAAGUAGACAUUUGCAGAGCACACGAAGCAGAUUAGGGUGCGUGCCCAGGUGUUCCAGGCUGCCAGUCUCUGCUAUGCUGGAUGGAGAGGGACACAAUGAGAGGAAGUCGAGGCAGAUACCAGUGUAUGAAAGUUGGAAAAUCACUAAAGGAUUCAGAUGGGGGUCUUUCAGAAGACAGCUUGACUACAACCUGGUCAACAAGCCCAUGAUUUGUCUAGAUUCACCUGGAACCUGAAGGCAAUGCAGCUUGGGGCAUCCUUUGCUAUAAGCAAAAUAAUAGCAAGAACAAGGACUCCAAACUAAGAAUGUACAAUUAGGUAGAAAAUCAAACAAUUUUUUAAAAUUUAAAAAAAAAUUGCCUGGACAAGUGGAAAAAGUACUAAUUUUAGAAGGACUGCAAAUGCUCACGGUUAAACAUGGGAACUAAGAAACUCUUCUUGCAGGAUUCCGAUAGCAUACCUCACUAUUCGCCUAAAAGAACAUUACUUCUCCAGCAAGUUGGUAUUGGAAGUGGAGUCUUCUACUGGUAAUCUUGCACAUCUGAUUUCUGAAGAAACCCCCCUAGAGCAGGUUCCUGCUCUGUGCGGUUUAAAGGAGGCCUCCCCUUGAAGCUGUGUGAACUGAGCGACUGGCAUCAGAAGCCAUGGGACACCCCGACAUCACAAAAGGAGCACUGGGGCUCUGCUUCCCGUCAGGGAGAUCCCUAGAAGCCAUUCGUUCCCACCCAGGAAGGCCAGCACUUGGAAACAAUUGCCAGCCACAAAAAUAGCCCCCACUUAACGCCAAUUAAACCUAUUCCCAUCUUGACUUCUCUUUAGCUACAGCCCCAAAGGCUCGUCACUUUGUGGGCACUCCACUCCAGCAGGAGGAACAUGGAGGGGAGGCUGGAACUGAAAAUGAAAACAGUCUUAAGUAACCAUGGCUAAAUAUAUCUCGUUUGUAAUAGAUUUUACAAGCACACCCAACCAUGAGGACACAUUGCAAGAACUCCUCCCUUCCCCUGGAAGAAGCCUGUGCAGCUAAGAGGGUCACGGCUCAAGCUUACUUGCUGAUCCGCUGUAGACAGAGCCUCACCCAGGCUCUGAGUGUAACUGGGGAUACCAGUCUGUAAACAGUGGCAACAGCGAAUGACUGAAAGUAACCACAGUGUCCACGGACUAAAAAUGAUAUAUUUGAAAGGCCAUUAGCAAGUAAAAGCAGGAUGAUGCUGUGGCAACUAGGAAUGAACAGGGAUGGCAAAAUAAAAGGAGCAUGGCGCCAUCUAACCUGGCUCGCAUCCUCCAGCUUUAACUAACAUGUUCACAUGCAGUUCCAGUGUGAGGUGCAGAGACGGCCAUCACAGAGAUAGAGGCCUGACACAGGAAGAAAUACCAGGGCUAUCUGCGGGAGGCAGUUAAAGAUAAAGAAAACUGUGGUCAGGUGA
This is a non-coding RNA of Myodes glareolus (Bank vole), 2447 nucleotides long. NCBI's taxonomy places the organism in Eukaryota, Metazoa, Chordata, Mammalia, Rodentia, Cricetidae. The record is from RefSeq and is a predicted model, not a curated record.